RNAcentral lists this small nuclear RNA (107 nucleotides) under Dasypus novemcinctus (nine-banded armadillo). Lineage: Eukaryota; Metazoa; Chordata; Mammalia; Cingulata; Dasypodidae. The record is from RNAcentral.
GUGCUUGCUUCGGCAGCACAUAUACUAAAAUUGGAACGAUACAGAGAAAAUUAGCAGGGCCCCAGGGCAAGGAUGACAUGGAAAUUUGUGAUGUGUUCCAUAUCUUU